Pelodiscus sinensis (Chinese soft-shelled turtle) is the source of this 530-nucleotide non-coding RNA. The record is from RefSeq and is a predicted model, not a curated record. NCBI's taxonomy places the organism in Eukaryota, Metazoa, Chordata, Testudines, Trionychidae.
GGGGCCAGGGUGUCACUCCCUGGUGCUAAACUACUUGGACAAGAGAGACUGUGAGCAGAUCUGUCAUCACCUGGCUACUGGGAGCACUUUGUGUCUGUGGCACUGUAUUCCCAGCCAAUCUUAAACCAUGAAGAUCCUCCAUCUGCUCUUUGCUGUUGUCUUCUUGGUGCUCCUGGAUGCCCCAGGAUAUUCCGAGGCUAAGAUAAGCCGAGCAGCGUGUAAACGCCGUGGAGGAAAAUGUUACCUUAGAUGUCCCGCUAAUUCCAUAUACAUUGCAAAAUGCUAUAUCGGUGUCUGCUGCCAAAGAAGUAUUUUUACUGAUUACCUGGAAUGAUCUCCAGGAAUCUGGGAGAGAGCCACUUGCUUCUAAAAUCAUCAGAUCCUGCCUCAAUGGAACCUUGAAGUCUCAUUCAUUUGGGCUGAAAAGAACCUUGUGACGAAGAGAAAUUCCAGAAGGGAGCCCUUCUUUUACACAUAUAAGAUUUGUUACUUUCCUUUUAAUAAAAGCAAGCUGGUGUAACAUCAUCAAA